UACGUAGGGGGCUAGCGUUGUCCGGAAUCAUUGGGCGUAAAGAGCGUGUAGGCGGCUCGGUAAGUCCGCUGUGAAAGUCGAGGGCUCAACCCUCGAAUGCCGGUGGAUACUGUCGGGCUAGAGUGCGGAAGAGGCGAGUGGAAUUCCUGGUGUAGCGGUGAAAUGCGCAGAUAUCAGGAGGAACACCAAUGGCGAAGGCAGCUCGCUGGGACGUAACUGACGCUGAGACGCGAAAGCGUGGGGAGCAAACAGG
This 253-nucleotide ribosomal RNA is filed under the name uncultured bacterium. RNAcentral describes it as "partial 16S ribosomal RNA". It matches the Rfam family "Bacterial small subunit ribosomal RNA", at positions 524 to 776 of the family's 1533-position model. The record is from RNAcentral.